UACGUAGGGGGCGAGCGUUGUCCGGAUUCAUUGGGCGUAAAGAGCUCGUAGGCGGUUCGGCAAGUCGGGUGUGAAAACUCCAGGCUCAACCUGGAGACGCCACCCGAUACUGCUGUGACUUGAGUCCGGUAGGGGACCACGGAAUUCCUGGUGUAGCGGUGAAAUGCGCAGAUAUCAGGAGGAACACCGGUGGCGAAGGCGGUGGUCUGGGCCGGCACUGACGCUGAGGAGCGAAAGCGUGGGGAGCGAACAGG
This 254-nucleotide ribosomal RNA is filed under the name uncultured bacterium. RNAcentral describes it as "partial 16S ribosomal RNA". It matches the Rfam family "Bacterial small subunit ribosomal RNA", at positions 524 to 776 of the family's 1533-position model. The record is from RNAcentral.